Molecule: ribosomal RNA, 666 nt
Filed under: Triticum aestivum (bread wheat)
Lineage: Eukaryota; Viridiplantae; Streptophyta; Magnoliopsida; Poales; Poaceae
Description: partial small subunit ribosomal RNA
Source: RNAcentral
AUGGCCGCCGCACCGACGCCGCAGCCCUUGCUCCCGGUGACCAACCCCUCCUCCGGGGGCGGCGGCUCUGCCCCGUCCGCCGGCAGCGGCCUCACCGACUCCGCGCUCGCCACGCCGGCCUUCCGGCUCUUCCUCAGCAGGGUCUCCGACACGGCGCGGCGCUCGCUCGCCGACCGCCGCCCCUGGACGGAGCUCAUCGACCGCUCGGCCAUCUCGCGGCCGGACUCCCUCUCCGAGGCCACCUCGCGAUUGCGCCGCAACCUGGGCUACUUCCGCGUCAACUACGCCGCCGUGGUGGCCUUCUCCCUCGCGGCCUCCCUCCUGGCGCACCCCUUCUCGCUGCUCGUCCUCCUCGGCAUCCUCGGCGCCUGGUGCUUCCUCUACGUCUUCCGCGCGCCCGACCAGCCCGUCGUGCUCUUCGGCCGCACCUUCACCGACCGGGAGACGCUGCUCGGCCUCGUCGUCUCGUCGCUGCUCGCCUUCUUCCUCACGUCCGUCGCCUCGCUCAUCAUCUCCGGCCUGCUCGUCGGCGGCGCGCUGGUGGCGGUGCACGGCGCGUUCCGCAUGCCCGAGGACCUCUUCCUCGACGACUCGAGCUCUGUGUCAAGCGGCAACACUUCCCACAGGCUGCUCUCCUUCCUCGCGUCGCCCGGAUCUGGUGUUUGA